CGUUGCGAAUUACGGACGCCAUCUUGUUUUCUUUUAACCAAUUGAACGACGUAGAUGUAAGUGUUUCAACGAUUCUUAUUGGUCAUCGUAAGAAAUGCUGUUUUUACAUGCAAUUUCAUACAGUAGCGAAAUUAAUAUUUGUUUACGUCUACUACGGCAGGCUAUAAGUAUAUACAUACAUACAUACAUACAUACAUACAUACAUACGUAUUAUGUGUACUACGUACCUCAUAGUGAUUACUAAAUUUGAUUUACUUUUUUUCUUUUUCUAAAAAAAGCGCAUGCCGUAGUUAAAAUAAGCUACAUUCCUUAAAUUGAUAUAAUGACAUCACAAAAGAUUGAACAAAAUAAAGAUGGCGUCUUUCGAACCCUCUCCCUUUCAUUUUUGUUUGUAAUUUGCUAAAAAGCAAGAGCCAUGUCACAAAAGUGAUGAAAAUCAUUUUUCCUGUGUAUGCUUUUUUAUUCAAUUGGCAAAAGGCAAAAAGAAAAGCGUAACAAAAUGGCGACGAUGAAGACGCAACGUGACGAUGACGAAGAAGAAGAAGAAGACGACGACGACGACGACGACGAUGACGAAAAGGAUUUUUUCGAUCGCUUGGCCGCCAUGCAAGUGAAAUAACAUAAUCAACAAAGAGAAAUUAAAUCUUUGCGCACAUAUUCGCAGGACAUAAAAAGAGAGCAAAUACAUAGACAUUUAUAAAUAUGUAGAUAUUUAUAUAUAUAUGGGUAAAAAUUUUUAAAAGAAACGCUUCGAUUCCUUUCAUUUUUUCAGUGAAAUGAGAUUAUCAUAAAAUCGUAAUUUUCAGUCAGUAUGUUAAAAUUUGUAAACUUGCUAUUUUUAUCAUCAUCAUCGGGUUGACAACCACUGACUUGGAAGUUUCUCAUCAAUUUCCUUAUUUUUAAUAGAUCAUCUUUUAUGAGGUCACCCUAUGGGAACUCUUAAUUUUAUUAUUUUUACUAUCAAGUAGAUCACUGACUCGAAAAAAAUAUUCUUAUAGAAUUUUAUUUAUUUUUUGUUUCAAAUCUCGUACAUUCGAAGCGUCUCCCACCCUCCUUUUUUUUUUUAUUCAGGCCAUCUAAAAGAAGAGACACGAUCGUUUGGACUGGACUCACGCGACGAGCUCGCCGAAGAGCCUGAUUUUCCUGUGACAGGUGUCGAGAAGGGAGAGUCGUGACGAUGAGCUUGCUGGAGUAGUAGUAGUAGUAGUAGUAGUUGUACUACUACCUCCACCUCCGCCACCAUGAUGAACAGGAGUUGCAGGUGCUGACAUCGUCGAUGAGGACGACGAUACACCUGAAGUUACGUUGUUUCCCUCCUGAUGGAGUACAACUCGAGCAGGUUAUGAUGUAUCUCCAAUUGCCUGGACUCGUGCCAAAACAGUCUGCAAUAUUACCACGGCACACUGACAUUCGAAAGUACAAAAUAGAGACGGCUGAGAGAAAGAUUUGAUCAAGUUUUUGAUGUUAACGAAUUGAAAAAAAUAAGAACGAGAGAGAGAAUAGAAGAAGGUUAAUGAAAAUGUUCUACGGUAAUUGACAAGUGAACAAAAUGAUUUAUCAAACAACUAAUUUAUAUAUAUAUAUAUAUAUAUAUAUAUAUAUAUAUAUAUACAUAUACAUAAAAGAAGUAGAAUAUUUUAUUCACUCGUCAAAGUCACAGAAAGUAAAUAAACAAACAAACACGUAAAAAAAAAGAUCGGUACCGAGCACCGACAAAUAUAAUGUUCUCGCCGUCUCUGAGACAACGAGAGACUGACGUCCUCGUGGAGGCUUCGUGUGCGACUGCCGAGAAAGAGAGAGAGAGAGAGAGAGAGAGAGAGAGAGAGAGAGAGAUUCGACGCGUACCAGUUCUGGUCCUACACCGCAUCGUGACGCCGCGAUUCUGCAGCGAAUGCUGGAGUAUUCCCGGAAGAUCCAGAAAAAUAUCAUUUUAUUAUUUAAUGCAUGUGUAUGCGUGUGCGCAUAUAUAAAUAUAAAAUAAUUUUCAUACGAAUUUUUAUUAAACGAUUUGUUAUGAUGUAUUAUAUAUAUAAUAUGAUAUUAAAGGAUAUAUAAGAAAUGAAGAAAAGGGCGGAUGAAAGGGAAGAGGGGAUAGAGAUGAGGCAAGAGAGCGGCAAUGCGACGGUGGUUGCGCCGCCAAUGGAUCAGCUGUGAACCGGCAACUAAGUCAGCUGACUGUUCGACCCCUCCCCAACUUCCUACCUGUUUCACAGCCUCAUACACACUGAGAGAUAGUCUCUCUGCGACAAUCAAUAUUCCGCUCUUAUUUUGCGGCGCUCCUUUAAACACUCAUUUUUUUAUACUUAUUACAAUAAUACGUGUUUCUGGAUAUAUACACAUGCACGCGCACAUAUAUGUAUGAUCAUCAGGAAUGAAAGAAUGUUUGAUUGUAUGGCAAUGCAAAUAAUCUUAAAUUUCAUCUAUAAUUUAAUUAAUAAUCAUAUAAGAUUGUUAACUAGAAACAGAAAAAUGCUUAACAAUUUUGAAAGAAUAAUGAGAAGAUUUAAAUACGGCGCCUUUUUUUAAAGAGGGCGUGGUAUGUCACGUGGUUAUCCACACUACUUUCUCAUCGAUUAUUCGCUCGAUAUCCAACAAUUUCUUUUUUCUUUCUUCACAAAAUACCGAACACAAAAUUCUUUUAAUUCUAUUAUUGAGAAUAAUUUGUUUAGUUGUUAGGCGUGAAAGAGAUACAUAACUUAAACUAUUAUUAAUCCUUCUAUUAAACAAUAUGUUUUCCUAGUAAAAGGAUGAAAGAAGAGGAUAAAAUGACAGAGAAGAGAAGCAAAAAGAAAGACAAAAAACAAAUAUCAAGUUGAACGGAAAGUGAAGAUCCUUUGGCGCCAGGAUUCAAUCGAACUUGUUUUCCUUUCAAGCAGUUAAGGGAUUACGAGAGGGAGAAGAGCAGAGAAAAUAAAAGACGAUCGAUGUUAAGAAUGGCGCCUUCCUGGCGCCUCUCUUCAUCACGCUCGAGACAUUAUUUCGUCCUACACGUUUGUUUACCAACGUCAUUCUACUACCAUAGUUUUAUCUCCAUCGUCGAUGCAUUCUAACGUUAAAAGACUAUUCUUAUUGCCGUCAUCAUAUUUCCUCUCAAACGAUUGUUAUUUUCCCAUCGAUCUCGCCAGAAACAUAAUCUUUUGUUUAGUCUAUAUGGAUAUAUAUAUAUAUAUAUAUAUAUCCAUAUAUAUCCAUAUAUAUAUAUAUAUUUAUGUAGAAUAUAGUUACUUUCUUUUCCUCAUCCCAACUCUCUAUUUUCUCUUUCACAACUCUCUUCCUUUUCCUUUUUUCUUCUUACGAUAUAUUUAUUAACAAUCGUGUUCGUGUUCCUCAAGGGUUUCAUCUUUUUUUCAUAGAGGUUACUUAGAAAGGUAUCCUAGCUUGAAGAGACUGAUAUAUAAAGUUACUUGUAGAAUAGCGCGUUUGGAAAAUAAACAAUAAAUAAAAAAUGGGAUAUUGUUUCUCAUUAUAACCUUAAUUACGAGAUAAAAGUAUAUGUAAUGUAUUUGUUAUGAUGAAGGAAAAUGUGAUUUAAAUGUUGAUAUUACGAAAAAUAAAAAAAAAAAGGAAUAUAUAUAGAAAGUAACAUUAUAGAUUUGGCUAAAAUUAAAGGAAAACCAUUUAAUUAAGCCGAGUGUAACAGCUUACGAGAGUAACAACGACUA
Long non-coding RNA from Vespa velutina, 3662 nucleotides. RefSeq lists it as uncharacterized. Lineage: Eukaryota; Metazoa; Arthropoda; Insecta; Hymenoptera; Vespidae. The record is from RefSeq and is a predicted model, not a curated record. The transcript is spliced from 3 exons.